Molecule: ribosomal RNA, 260 nt
Filed under: uncultured bacterium
Lineage: Bacteria
Description: partial 16S ribosomal RNA
Rfam family: Bacterial small subunit ribosomal RNA
Source: RNAcentral
GUCCACGCCGUAACGAUGUCGAUUUGGAGGCUGUGUCCUUGAGACGUGGCUUCCGGAGCUAACGCGUUAAAUCGACCGCCUGGGGAGUACGGCCGCAAGGUUAAACUCAAAUGAAUUGACGGGGCCCGCACAAGCGGUGGAGCAUGUGGUUUAAUUCGAUGCAACGCGAAGAACCUUACCUGGCCUUGACAUGUCUGGAAUCCUGUAGAGAUACGGGAGUGCCUUCGGGAAUCAGAACACAGGUGCUGCAUGGCUGUCGU